This 7447-nucleotide long non-coding RNA is filed under the name Sus scrofa (pig). Its description in RNAcentral is "lncRNA (ENSSSCG00015029655.1)". Lineage: Eukaryota; Metazoa; Chordata; Mammalia; Artiodactyla; Suidae. The record is from RNAcentral.
UUUUUUUUUUCAAAGCUAAGAAGCCCAAAAAUAGUUGAAAGACGUCUCAGAGCUUUCCGAAGACAAAUCCUGCCUUGUUCAGAAGACAAAUCUGGGGGUACAAGUAUUAAGUCUGAAGUCGUGGAGACUCCAAGGGCCAGUUCAGAUGGCCUGCAGAACUCCACAACACGCAGGAGGAGCAGGCGCUUUCGAGCCCAGCCUCCAAACCCGGGAACCUGUGUUCCAGCCCCUUGGCAGUUCACACAAAGGCUCGAUUCUGAGGCUCGCUCGGUUUAAGUAAAGGCUGCGUUGCAACUGGCUCAACGUGAAGGCGUCCACGUGGAAAGUAAUGAAUUUGGCUGGAUGGGCAGCCAACAUCAGCAUUGCCCAAGAGAGUUAGUAAACAAGCAGAUGAAAUAAAGAAAUAGCCUCAUUAAGGGUAAGAAAAAAAAGUAUAAAUGUAACAAGAGACCGUUUUGCAUCUAUUGAAUCAUAAUUUUUUUAAGCUAAUAAUAGCUGGUGUUGAUGAGGCUGUGGUGAAACAGGCAAGUCCACAUGUUGAUGGUGGCAGUGUCAAUUGAGAGUAAUUUGGCCAUACGGGGCGAGAGUCAUAAAACUGUGCCUUUUGACUCAAUAAUCCUUCUGCUGAGAAUCUGUCCAAAGGAUUUUCCAAGAAGAGAAAAGCCAUACGCGCAGAGCUGCUCAGAGCACCCUUAAGUAUUAUUAUGGCCCGUUACUAGGAGCCUGCAUUUUCAACACCAGAGAGCUGGUUUAGAAGAUUUAUCAACUUGAUGAACCUCUUUAAAAUUGAUCAUUAGGGCGUUCCCGUUGUGGCUCAGCAAGCUAAGAACCCAACUAGUAUCCAUGAGAAUGUGAGUUCAAUUCCUGGCCCCGCUCAGUGGAUUAAGAAUCCGGUGUUGCCCUGGGCUGCGGUGCAGGUCGCAGACGCAGCUCAGAUGCCACGUUGCUGUGUCUGUGGUGUAGGCCAGCAGCUGCAGCUCCAAUUCGACACCUAGCCUGGGAACUUCCACAUGCUCCAGGUGUGGACCUUAAAAAAAAAAAAAAAAAUCAUUAGUAAGGUGCUUGAACAAAAUGCAAAAAUGCUUAGGGCAUAAUGUCAGAUUACAGAAUAUUCCCUACACCUAUGCCCAUAUCAAAUCAUAAGUUAAUGUAUGGAUAGACAGAUCAGCUACCUGGAAACAAUCUGUCUGGUCAAGGGGAAGGUGGUUACUGAUUUUAUGUACUCAUCCAUUUCACUCCUUGGCAUCGCAGCGCUGUUUACGCAACUGGCGACAACGAUAUGGACGGCGAUGAUUUUUAUUAGUGAAUCUUCAGUAGCGUAUAGAAAAGGAGUGAGCCCUAGAAACCACACUCAGGGUAUGAGAAAUGGUCAAAGCCAGAGGCAUCUGAGGAUCUACUCAAAGAAACGUGACGUCUCAGCAGAAGAUGGAAAAUGUGGGUGCUGCUGGGGCUGCGCAUCAGCAAGGCCAGCCUUCCAGGCCCCCGUGGAGCAUCCGGCAGGCGGUAUCUGAUCUUCUCAGCUUCCUCCUCCCGGCCACACCCCCAGUCCCCAAACAGGAAUAGCGACCUCCGGACCUGUGCAUAUGUAAAUGUCCCCCUUCCUAAAACACCAAGCUCUGCUCAGAGGCCUAGACAUCAUUUAAAUACUGAAUUCCCUCCAAGAGGUGCUUCUCAAAAAGGCAACUGAGACCAGUUUCUACACGUGGUGCUUGAGGUCAUACUGAACUUUCGUUUUCUGUGGGGUGGGACCCAGCUGGGAUUUCCAGAGCGUGCAGCAGCAUCGGGGAACAGCGGCCCCCACUCAGAGUCCGCAGCGAUCAAGUGAGGGGUUAGCACUUCGAUGUUACAGGGGGACAGUCCCGACUCCACCCCUACCAGCCCUGGUACCUUGGGACAGGUUAUCUCACCCUCGUGACCUCAGUUUCUGCAUCCAUAAAAUGGGGAUUUUUCCAGAGCCUUCCUGGCAAGGAGCAGGGGGUGAGGGGGAGCACUGUGAGGAUUGAGAGAAAUACAGGCACUUAGCCCAGAGCCCNCAGCUGCGGGCGCUCACUGAAUCCUGGCUCUCGCCAUCACUCUCGGUCCAAGACUCCUUAUCCAGUAGAUUCAUCUGAGGUCUUUGCACCACGUACGCCCAUGGGGCGAGGGCAGGCAUACUAGUCAACGACCAAAUGCAGCCCAACCCGGCCGACAUUCGGAUCACAUGGUUGCUUCCCAAAAGCCCAGAUGCCCCCUCCCAGUGCAUUACAUCCGAUUCUCUGCGGGUGGGGACCUGGCACAGCUAGGGCUUUUUUCGAGCUGAAUCCAUUGUGCCACUGAACUGGGGCACACCUAACUUGGGCAAGAGCAACAAGUGAUCUGUCCCCCAAACCCCCAAGCCCAGGAGAGCUGGCGGCAAAAGCCUUUAUUUCUUUAGGCAGCAGCUCCUUCUGGAAGCGUCAGGCACUCUCUGAGUUACUGGCAGAGGACAAGGGGUUCCCCACUCUCUGCCCUCCUGCUCGGCCCUGUGACUUCCUGUAAGGCAGUGAAGUGGGCCAGCGGGAGCAACCUGCCCCACAGAGGCCACCGGGAAACACCUGACCAACUCAGGCAGUGACACGGGCAGGCCAGGACUGAACACAAAUCCCCGGGCUGUCCCUGCUCCACCGCAGCCUCCUUCUCAUCCUCUGCAGACCGACGCCCUGCGAGGCCUGGGCGCGGUGACAACAGGCGGGCCUCGGGCAGGUGCACUGAUUUCAGAGGGGGCACAUGUAAAGCGUGGGGGAUCACACCUGGGAACCUCAGACCCUUACCCGUGAAAUGGGCAGAACCUUCCCUGCAGGCGGCUGGGACUAUGCCCAGGGCCAGGCCCAGGAGAGGUUUUCAACCAAUGCAGGGGAGCUGCGGUUGGUGCAAAAUGCCACCAAGGGAGGUUCGGGGGCCACUCUUCCUGUGCGAAACACAAGCCCUCCUCCCCUGCACGCAGCCUUCCAGGCCUUGACCUGGCGGUGCAGCAAGAGCUGCUGGAGGAUCUGCAGGGCUGCCGGGGGCCAGAUCCGUGCUCUCCUGUAGGGAUUGGCACCUCGGGAAGGGAAGGGCCCCGCGGUGCUCAGCCUGGCUUGGCCUGAUGGAAGCAGGGCUUGCCAGGCCCUCUUUAACACUCUGGCCUGCCUGGAGGGCUCGGGGCUGGAGUGUUCAAAGGCCAGGACACUGCUCCUUCCUGGCCUCACUCCUAAGGAACCAGCCACAGACGCUGCCUGGAUUCCGAGGCAAGAGCCCCCAUUUCCAUCACACUGACUUACCCACAACGACAAAUCUCGCCCUCUCAAUAGGCUUUGGGGGUUGAUGCUAUUCUUAGUCCCACUUUUCAGAUGGGGAAAGUGAGGCACGAGAGGGCAGCUCCCUUCCCCAAGGUCACCGUAGCAGGACAGAGCCCUGCAGCCCUGCAGGUUCCAGACGGUGGGUGCUCCCAUGUGACACCACAGUGCCCUGGCUCCAGGGCUACCCCUCCUCUAAUCCCUCCCUUGGGACCCAUCACACUCCUUUUCCAUCCCGCCCAAGGCAGGGGGCUGGAGACCCUCCAUGGGAAAAGACACAGCCCGCCGGCUUGAGAGGUCACCUCGACCCCACUCCCCACCCUUCACCACAGCUUUCCUGACUUGCUCCACUGGUCGGCUUUCACCUAAACCAGUCUCUGGGUUCACUGUGACCUCCUGGCAUCUUCAGUUACCAGGGGCCAUGGACCUCCUAACGCAGAAUCCCUGACGAGGUCAAAACGGGCAGUGCAUGUGUGGAGCAGAGAAGCUGUGUGUGCCAGCCUGGCCCUCACCCCCGGGACUCCGAGCUGCUGCAUCCCCAGCCGCCCACCCUGGCUUCCGCCUAAUGGCAUUUUUGAAAGGGAGCCACCCCCGCCCCACCCCACAGCAGCCCAGAGCUCGGCACUCAAGAGGCCCAGGGUAUCUGGACAACAGACGCCCCCAGAUCCGCACCUGUUAGAGGGACAGCUGAGCAGAGAUCCUGUUCCCUAAGAGGCCAGGCAGGUACGGGUCCCUGAAAAAGCGGUGUGUGCACUUCUGGGUGUCUGCUGGAGCCUCUGCCCAAGACAGAAAGAUCCCGAACUUCUCCCCAACUGCCAUUUGGAAAACUCUGUGGAAUCUGUUCAUCCAAUCGGCCAGGCAGCCCUUGCACAAACAUUGCUCCAGCCCCACUCUCCUGCGCGUGCCUGCUGGUUGGGCACAGAUAUGAACAAAGAAGACAGUGCACACAAAGACAGGGUGCUCCAAGGUCACAGGAUGCCAGGCCUUCAAACCCCCAAGUGCCCUGGCAAAGAAGCACCCAAGCGUAACCACAGGCACCCAUAAGUGUUAGUUGCUGUAAGUGGAGGAGACGGACUUUUCUAGUCCAUAAUAAGGCCUGCAUGUGCUCACAUAUUUGCCAAUGACCCUGUCGUGUGACCUUGAGCGAGUUUCAGAUCCCCCAUGAGCAAGCGCCUGAGAUUGAAAGGAGCCGUGAAGAUGCAGCACACUUUCUUCUUUGUGCCUUUAUGAAAGGAGCAGCAGUGACCAGGGAUGCUGUCCCUUCCUUAGGACGUGUCUCAACAUCGGCCGGGGAAGCCAAGCAUGGACUCACCCUGAAGUGGCCUCGUUCUUGGCAGGGCUGUGGAGCGCACUCUGGACCCAGCUGGGCCAGGCUGUGUUAGGGGCUGGGCAGGGCCAUGUGCAGACCCCGUGGUCCCAUCCAGAACACACGCCUGAUGGUGAACAUUCCACUUUCUCGGGGCGGCCCCAACCCGAGCUCUGCCACUUCUCUUCCUUUCCACCAACAGUGUUUCGAGCCUCCUCUGUGCCCUAGAUGGGGAGUGGGGGGUGGGGAGGUGAGAGGGGAGGAGACAGAGACCCAGGCUUCUCAGGAUCAAUCCCAGGGGCCUCCGGGGCCUCUCCUCCAUCCUCCCUCCUCCAAGCUGAGACCUCACCGCCUCUUUCUCGCUUCAUUGCCAGGUUCAUUCCUGCUGGAGGCCUCAGGUUUGGUUUUCACUGGGGAAAGGCCCUGCCCUCCUCCUGACCACUCCCUGGGCCACAGAGGAUGUGUGUCCAUCCCCGUCAAAGGCACACAACCUACAAUCAGCCGGGGGUGACAUCCCAGGAGCCUCUAGAAACAAAUGCUCGUCACCCAAGGACUAUCAGGUGUCCCCCUCCAGUGAGCCUCCCAGAGCUGGCAUCAGCAGCCAGGUAGGGGCUCCCUCCCGGGGGUGAAGUGUCCAGGCUUGGCCAGCCAGCACACCUGCCAUGGCUCAGGCUCCUGUGAUGGCGCAAAAGGAGUAUGAACACCUCUCGUGGAGAGAGAGGAGGCGACCCCUGAUGCCCCCACCAGCAAGGUUCACCUGCUGUGAACCUAAAAGAGACAAGGUCAAACCCAACAGGCAAGGAGUUUCCACAAAGGUCCUUCCUACAGCCUGCUAGGGCCUGACCUUGACUCUCAUGUCCCACCCGAACUGGGGACAGAGCUGGGGACGAGCUGAGCAGAACUGCCCGUGUUCCACUUGCAAGUGCUCAGAAUCACCAGCCAGCCCCUGACCGGCUGGAAGACGAGGCAGCCCCAUGCCAGAGAACACCUGCAGCUACCAGAAGCACCAAGAGGCAGAGAAAGACCCUCCCCUGAGCCUCUGGGGCAGCAUGACCUUGACAACACCUGGAAGGAUAGCUGGAGAAAAAGGAUCCUGGGGGAUGCUGCUGCCCUCAGAACCGGCAUAGAAGCAUCUUUCUUCACCCACUCUUCUGUCACCCCCACUGCUGUCCUGUAGCCCCAUACACCUGUCCCCCCACACUGUCCCUUACACCUGCAGCUCCUCUUCUCCCACUCUGGCUGCAAGCUCCCUGAUGGUGGGGUUGGGGGGAAGGAACACGUCCAUCCCCACCAGCCCCUGACCCUGGGGGAGAGUUACGGCGCAAAUAAGUAAUUCCAGCACUGGAAAGAGACUCUGAAGAUUUUCCUUUCCCCUCAUGGACAUAUUCAUGGCAUAAGAAAGCUCCCAAGCCAGGGAUUACAUCUGAGCUGCAGCUGCAGCAAUACCAGAUCCUUUAACCCACCCUGCCGGGCUGGGGAUCGAACCCGCACCUCUGCGGUAACACAAACUACUGCAGUCGGAUUCUUAAUCCACUAUGCCACGGCGGGAACUCCCCCGGAAGAUAUUUUUAAUCUAACUGCUCAGUCCCCACAGGUGCAAACUGAGGGCCAGAGAAGCGGAGUGAAGGGCCAGGACUGGGCCCCAAGAUGCCCAGACCCAAGGCCUCGCUGCCUCUGCUUCCGGCCAACCGGACCUCUUGCUGGACCAGCUUCCUGCCUCACCAGAUCGUUCCCUGAAGCAUCCCAAGUGCCCAGAAGAGUCUAGCACAUAGUAGGUGCAUGUUGAACAAUAGGUAAGUGUUUGUUGAAUGAGCAUUUGUUAAAGGAACCCAGGGUGGGAGGGGGAUAUGCAAAAUUGGUCUUAAUAUUGUAAAUGCUGCUCACAAAAACAGCAACAGCCUUCUGGGUGGAAAAAUAAAAACCCUCAAAGGGCACUCAUACCCUCCGUGUCUGUACUUCUGGGAACUCCUCUGCCAUGCUUUCCUCUGAGAAGGCAGGAAAGGGUGAGAGCAGCAGGACUGAACGCUGCCCAAUAACAACUGUGAUGCAAAUAACCUCACCCAUUCACUCACCAGGCAUCUGCCAAGUCUCACGAGGCCCAGACACUGACAGAGGCCCCAGGGGCCCGGAGGAGGCAAAGCCACCCCUGCCAGCAAGGGACGCGCAACUGAGAGGAAGAGCUGACAGUUACCAAGGCAGAGGAUGGGUGAUGGAGGGAGGUCCAGAACUCUAGGACCAGAGAGGGCUCAGCCUGGGGCAGGAUGGAAGGCUGCCUGGAGGUGGUGGCGGAUCCCAGAACCUGAAAGACACAUGGCGGCACCUCCACGAAGAUGGGAAUGCAGACAGGCCAGGGGAGAGUCCAAUUCCAAAAGAGACUGAGGGGCAGUGGGCACCGUCAGAGCCAGCUCCCGCUGGCCAAAGGUCCACCCUCUUCCCUGAGCACCCCAAUGGGAACCUGACACCAGCGUAAGUCGUGGUCUGUUCCUCUGUGAACAUGGAAUGCUAAAAUGGAGCAGAACCCCCGCAAGACAGAAAAAACCCUAAGCUUGGGAUUUGGAGACCAGAUCCAAGCCUCUAAGAGGGGCUGUGAUCCUCAGCUUCUCACCUGCAAAGAAAGGUCAGGGGAGAACUGGAUGAUCUUCAGUGAUGCAGCGGAAGUUUUUAAAAAAUGAAUCAAUGACACCUGGCUGAAGGACAAAUAAGGAAAUAAGGGUUAAAAAUCCAUCAAACUGGAGAGCAGCGCGAGGCGGAUAAUGUCUGGAGUGACAGCCUCCUAAGGCCUGGCCGGCACCGUGGGGCACGGGUCUCACGAGCCCUCGGCUGCUCCCCCACUACUGCGCCGGGACAC